UACGUAGGGUGCAUGCGUUAUUCGGAAUUACUGGGCGUAAAGCGUGUGCAGGCGGUUUUCUAAGUCAGGUGUGAAAUCCCCGGGCUUAACCUGGGAACUGCGCUUGUUACUGGCAAGCUGGAGUGUGGCAGAGGGGGGUGGAAUUCCACGUGUAGCAGUGAAAUGCGUAGAGAUGUGGAGGAACACCGAUGGCGAAGGCAGCCCCCUGGGCUAACACUGACGCUCAUGCACGAAAGCGUGGGGAGCAAACAGG
This 253-nucleotide ribosomal RNA is filed under the name uncultured bacterium. Its description in RNAcentral is "partial 16S ribosomal RNA". It matches the Rfam family "Bacterial small subunit ribosomal RNA", at positions 524 to 776 of the family's 1533-position model. The record is from RNAcentral.